AUACUUGUUGUAGAUAUGAUUUACUGCAUGCGAUGAUAUGAUCAUGCUUGCUGAUUUUUCAUUUUUAGAUUGAUACAUGCAUAUUAUAUCAUAUUAUAGAUCCUAGUUUAGGUGUUUUAGAUCUAAUCUAUAGCAUACUAAUAAGAUUAAAUAGUUUAACCUGAUAUGCUUCCAUCAAAAAUUUUAAAAAUACAUGCAUGAAAUGCCUACGAUUUCCUUC
This 220-nucleotide long non-coding RNA is filed under the name Elaeis guineensis (African oil palm). RNAcentral describes it as "long non-coding RNA (EGUI_LNC025997)". The record is from RNAcentral. Lineage: Eukaryota; Viridiplantae; Streptophyta; Magnoliopsida; Arecales; Arecaceae.